AUUCUCAUUUCGUAAGAUCUUUGCCUCCCCUCUGCACCAGAAACCUUGAUACCUCCAACGUUCAUAAUGAAAGUUUUCCUGGUUGUCGUUCUUCUUGCUGUCGUUUGCAAUGCUGUCAGAGAUAAACGCUUUCUUCUGGAUACAGUUGAUCUCAUCGAGAACAACCACCUGACGACUGUUGUGUGCCAGUUCCUGCGCGAAGGUGCGGAAGACAACAGCUUGCCAGCGCCGCUGUACCCAGGCGUUGUCAGGAGACUCGGAGGACAUCGUUCAGCUGCGCCAUGACUGCCCCUCCAUGUGCAUGCACCUUCAAACUACUUAUCAGAUUCUCCAUUGUAGCAGAAUACACUUGUAACCCUUGGAUAAAGACUUGUCAACAGACAGACCUGGUUCCUAAAUUUGGCCUGCAAACGUACUAACGAAUAAGAUGUACGCGCUGUCACAUUGUGCACACCAAUACUUUUUGCUAUUUCUUACCAGCUUAUAGUAGCGUGUAAACAGUUCAAACAUUAAAACAAAAGUCAAACAAA
Pomacea canaliculata is the source of this 530-nucleotide long non-coding RNA. RefSeq lists it as uncharacterized. NCBI's taxonomy places the organism in Eukaryota, Metazoa, Mollusca, Gastropoda, Architaenioglossa, Ampullariidae. The record is from RefSeq and is a predicted model, not a curated record. The transcript is spliced from 4 exons.